GGCUCUGUGGCGGAAUUGGCAGACGCAACGGACUUAAAAUCCGUCGAGGGUAUACCUCAUGGGGGUUCGAGUCCCCCCGGAGCUA
Molecule: transfer RNA, 85 nt
Filed under: Hyphomonas sp.
Lineage: Bacteria; Pseudomonadati; Pseudomonadota; Alphaproteobacteria; Hyphomonadales; Hyphomonadaceae
Description: tRNA-Leu
Rfam family: tRNA
About the family: Transfer RNA (tRNA) molecules are approximately 80 nucleotides in length. Their secondary structure includes four short double-helical elements and three loops (D, anti-codon, and T loops).
Source: RNAcentral